Molecule: ribosomal RNA, 648 nt
Filed under: uncultured archaeon
Lineage: Archaea
Description: bacterial SSU rRNA
Rfam family: Archaeal small subunit ribosomal RNA
Source: RNAcentral
CGGUUGAUCCUGCCGGAGGCUACUGCUAUCAGAGUUCGAUUAAGCCAUGUUAGUCGAGGGGUGGUCAUCGGAUGCUUGCAUCUGAUGGCCAAACCGGCGGACGGCUCAGUAACACGUGGACAACCUACCCUUGGGUCCGGGAUAACCCCGGGAAACUGGGGCUAAUACCGGAUGGGACAUCGCUUGCUGGAAUGCAGGAUGUCCGAAAGCUGAGGCGCCCAAGGAUGGGUCUGCGGCCGAUUAGGUAGUUGUUGAUGUAACGGAUCAACAAGCCUACGAUCGGUACGGGUUGUGAGAGCAAUAGCCCGGAGAUGGGUUCUGAGAAAAGAACCCAGGUCCUACGGGACGCAUCAGGCGCGAAAACUUUACAAUGUGCGAAAGCAUGAUAAGGGAACUCUGAGUGCCUCCUAAGGAGGCUGUUCAGGUGCCUAAAAAGCACCUGGAGUAAGGGCUGGGUAAGACCGGUGCCAGCCGCCGCGGUAACACCGGCAGCCCAAGUGGUAGCCACUUUUAUUGGGUCUAAAGCGUCCGUAGCCGGUUGAGUAAGUUCCUUGGGAAAUUUGGCUGCUUAACAGUCAAGCUUCCAGGGAAUACUGCUCGACUUGGGACUGGGAGAGGUCAGAGGUACUCCAGGGGUAGGGGUGAAAU